AGAAUCAACGCUGGCGGCGUGCCUAACACAUGCAAGUCGAACGAGAAAGUGGAGCAAUCCAUGAGUACAGUGGCGCACGGGUGAGUAACACGUGACUAACCUACCCUUGAGUGGGGAAUAACCUGGAGAAAUCUAGGCUAAUACCGCAUAACACCUACGGGUCAAAGGAGCAAUUCGCUUAAGGAGGGGGUCGCGGCAGAUUAGCUAGUUGGCGGGGUAAUGGCCCACCAAGGCAGUGAUCUGUAUCCGGCCUGAGAGGGCGCACGGACACACUGGAACUGAAACACGGUCCAGACUCCUACGGGAGGCAGCAGUGGGAAUUUUGCGCAAUGGGGGAAACCCUGACGCAGCAACGCCGCGUGGAGGAUGAAGUCCCUUGGGACGUAAACUCCUUUCGACCGGGAAGAUAAUGACGGUACCGGAAGAAGAAGCCCCGGCUAACUUCGCGCCAGCAGCCGC
This 459-nucleotide ribosomal RNA is filed under the name uncultured bacterium. RNAcentral's name for it is "SSU rRNA". It matches the Rfam family "Bacterial small subunit ribosomal RNA", at positions 26 to 518 of the family's 1533-position model. The record is from RNAcentral.